RNAcentral lists this ribosomal RNA (120 nucleotides) under Candidatus Thorarchaeota archaeon. The record is from RNAcentral. Lineage: Archaea; Promethearchaeati; Candidatus Thorarchaeota.
GAUGGCGGCCAUAGCACAUGGGUUUUACCUGAUCCCAUUCUGAACUCAGAAGUCAAGCCCAUGAGCGUUGAGGGAGAUGUGCGGUGCGCGAGCCCGUGACAGGCCCUCAAGCUGCCACUU